CAGUAGCCGCGGUAAUACGUAGGGUGCGAGCGUUAAUCGGAAUUACUGGGCGUAAGGCGUGCGCAGGCGGUUAUAUAAGACAGAUGUGAAAUCCCCGGGCUCAACCUGGGACCUGCAUUUGUGACUGUAUAGCUAGAGUACGGUAGAGGGGGAUGGAAUUCCGCGUGUAGCAGUGAAAUGCGUAGAUAUGCGGAGGAACACCGAUGGCGAAGGCAAUCCCCUGGACCUGUACUGACGCUCAUGCACGAAAGCGUGGGGAGCAAACAGGAUUAGAUACCCCCGUAGUCCCUGUCUCUUAUAC
RNAcentral lists this ribosomal RNA (301 nucleotides) under uncultured bacterium. RNAcentral describes it as "partial 16S ribosomal RNA". It matches the Rfam family "Bacterial small subunit ribosomal RNA", at positions 509 to 807 of the family's 1533-position model. The record is from RNAcentral.